UCUAUGGUUUCCGCGGCUCGCUAGAAGGAGUGUGGUCCACUGGUGGACUCCCUACAUUCUUCCUCCAUUACCGCACUGCCUCCGGUGGCUGCUGGGAUACCGGAGGACUCGGGUCCCGGCUCGACUCAGUCUUCCAGCCGCCCGGGGAAUACCUCUAGUUCUUCCCGGCCGCCGCCGCCUCCGCCCCGCCGCUUCCUCCUCCGCCGCCGGCCUCCUUCGCCCCGCCCGUCCGCGCAGCGCGUCCGGCCCGCCCGCAGGCCAGCUUCUCUCGGGAGCCCCCACCCAGGCUCAUGGCUCCAUGAAGCAAGAGGAGGAGGCAGAGCGCGAGAGGUCCGUCCGCCCCAGCCGCGUCUGGGCCAGGAGAAAAGCAAAACCAUAUUCCUGCUGCUGUCAGUUAUGAUGCACUGAGAAAACUUCAGAGACCUAAGCUUUUUCCAGAGAAGAGAAGCUUUACUGGUGUUCCAGCCCUAAGGCUCAUAUGACAUUAACAGACAAGACACUUUUCAGAAAGACAGGCAACGUGUUGGACCUUCCUGAGCUUCUCAGAAGACAGAGGAUUUUCUUUUGAG
This 569-nucleotide non-coding RNA is filed under the name Pan troglodytes (chimpanzee). Lineage: Eukaryota; Metazoa; Chordata; Mammalia; Primates; Hominidae. The record is from RNAcentral.